AUGAAUGCCUUGUUCUGGAAUGUUAGGGGUAUUUCAGCUGCAGGCAGAAAGCCUCUCAUUUUAGACACUUUAGCUAAAACCCAUGCCAAUGUCAUUGGCUUUCAGGAAACAAAGAAGGAAGAGUUCUCCCCUUCCUAUCUUAAAUCUUUAACAGGACAUAGGGAUUUUGCCUGGCAUCAUCUCCCUGCUACAGGCACUGCUGGGGGCAUCCUGGUGGGAGUGGAGCUAGAUGUCUUUGAGGUGAUCUCCUGGUCACACUUAAAUUUUUCUGUCAGUUGUGAGCUAAAGCAUAAAACCCUGGGUCAUAUUUUUAGGGUAAUUGUAGUAUAUGGAUCCCCCUAUGAGGAAGGCAAGGCAGCUUUUAUUUCUGAGCUACACUCUUUGUUUGUAGACAAUCACUUGCCCACCUGA
RNAcentral lists this ribosomal RNA (411 nucleotides) under Triticum aestivum (bread wheat). RNAcentral describes it as "partial small subunit ribosomal RNA". The record is from RNAcentral. Lineage: Eukaryota; Viridiplantae; Streptophyta; Magnoliopsida; Poales; Poaceae.